Small nuclear RNA from Ochotona curzoniae (black-lipped pika), 107 nucleotides. NCBI's taxonomy places the organism in Eukaryota, Metazoa, Chordata, Mammalia, Lagomorpha, Ochotonidae. The record is from RefSeq and is a predicted model, not a curated record.
GAGCUUGCCUCGGCAGCACAUAUACUAAAAUUGAAGUGAUACAGACAAGAUUAGCAUGGCCCCUGCACAAGGAUGACACGCAAAUUCGUGAAGCAUUCCAUAUUUUU